GUGGGGUAGGACUCUGAACUUCAAGCACUGGAGUUUGCCGGGAUCGUGAACUUGCAGGGAGAGGCGGUCCUCAUCCAGUGAGGUACUAACAGUCUAAGCAGAAAAAGAAGAACAGAUGGUGGUAAGACCUAGAAUGUUUACCCCAUUAAGAUCUAUAUCUGAAUCCAGAAGGAACACCUCAUUGCCGAGAAGAGCCCUGCAGACAGUUCACACCUCUGUUUCUUUUGCAAGAUAUAGCUACCUCAAAAAAUCCUUUCUUGAUCAAACUCUUAUGGCCUGGAAUCCUUGCGUUUCUGCUGAUGACUGUCAUUUUAGAGUACUUACUAAAGACAAUGGUUGGGGAAAUAGAUAUUUUAAAAAUAAGGGAAAAAGUGGGUAGGGUAAACCCAGGCUUACUUAUGUAAACUCUGAGUGCUGAAGUUAGAAGACAACCUUUAAGAUUAAAAAAAAAAAAAAAAAAAAGAUUUCUGGUAGCCGCCA
Molecule: long non-coding RNA, 480 nt
Filed under: Homo sapiens (human)
Lineage: Eukaryota; Metazoa; Chordata; Mammalia; Primates; Hominidae
Description: HSALNT0295566
Source: RNAcentral